RNAcentral lists this long non-coding RNA (2447 nucleotides) under Amphibalanus amphitrite. Its description in RNAcentral is "uncharacterized LOC122367112". The record is from RNAcentral. Lineage: Eukaryota; Metazoa; Arthropoda; Thecostraca; Balanomorpha; Balanidae.
AAGGGGAGUAUAAGUUCGGUUUUAUAUCAAUGUUAUAUUGAUUGACGAGGAUGUUUUUCCUUUCGGGUUUUUUAUGUUUAUUUUUACUGGUUUGUUGUUUGUUAGUUGUUUGUUUUUAUUUUCGGCAUGAGGUUUGGUUAUUUUUGUGCUUAUGUUAUGCUAUAUCGAGGUAAGAAAGGGGUCGAUGAGCAAUGGGUCGGCGAAUGCCUGGUAUUAUAGGUUUUUUGAAGGUUGGAUAAAAGAAUGAAACAUGGACUGCUGGUAGAAAUUCGCUUGGUGGUGUUUUUCAGAUUUUGGGAGAUUGGGUGUAGGUUCUUGCUAUGUGUAACAUAGCUGAAACUGUUUUUUUUUUCUUCUUCCCUGGAACGGAACGCCGGACUUUGCCAUCCUACACUCAGUGUGAGUGAAAUCAGCUCAUGCUUCUCGGUGUAGCAGCUCAGAGUGCACGGCCUGGCCGGCGUGGGGUUUUUGGUGGCCACGUGGUGUUGGCCGGUGGUUGGAGUUGGCAGAAUUGCCGUUUUGUGGUGCCUGGUGUUGGUUGAACUGUGGUUCCCAUACAGGUGAACGGUUACUGGCGUAAGGUGUGCCAGGUGGGCGUACCCCGUGGAGGUACGCCCAGGUGGGCCAGGUGGGCCUGGCCGGCGUAGGGUUUGGUGGCCACGUGGUGUUGGCCGGUGGUUGUGCAGAGAGUUGGUAGAAUUGCCGUUUGGUGGUGCCUGGUGUUGGUUGAACUGUGGUUCCCAUACAGGUGAACGGUUACUGGCGUAAGGUGUGCCAGGUGGGCGUACCCCGUGGAGAAUGAGCUGCUGGUGAUGUUUGGCUCUGUCCGAGCGUGUCCGAGCGGGGUUUUCAUUAGUGGGUUAGGGAUUGUUGAUAAUAAGGGUACCAACUACCAGGUGAGACUUGAGAGGGUAAAUGGAGUUCAUGCUAAUGAUACCCAAUGCAAUGGUAUUGGUCUAAAAUGGUAUUGUUACCUGGUUAGGUUGGAGUGAAAGGUUAAGUGGGUGAUAUAGGUACGGAGGUGCAGAGGUGAUAGUGGAAACCACUUGUGUGGUAAGUCUCGGGAGUCGGGACUAGGAUAUUUUAGAUUAGAUGGGAAAUUAUGUUAGGUAGUUUGGAUGCACUGGCGAUAAUAUAGUAAGUUACAGGAUAGUAACCAAAGGAAGUUUUCACCCUCAUAUUUAAGGACUGCAUUAGGUAUGCAAUUUUCUAUAACGAUGCAGUUUUAUGGUAGCCCGUGAUUGUUUUGCUCUCACUCUACAUUGUGGUGCGAGUUAACUGUUUUCAGUUUUUUUAUGGUAGUGGCGUUUGUGAAUCGUUUUUUUUUUUUUGCCAGAGUAAGGUGCCUUUUUGUCGUGGUCAAUAAAUAGAGCAUUGCCUAGGCAUGCAUAAGCGACAUCAAUCAUCAUGGUAAUGUUGGUAUGCAAUAUGCAUAUCCUGCCGAUGUGUCAUCGCGCGCAUUGUCAGAUAAAUGGCUCCAGUAUGUAUAACCCCUCUUGAUACCCCCGUUUGAUACGAGCUUUCGGCUAAAAAUGGUUAUGUGACACAAUCCGUUUUUUUUUCUUCCAUGGCUUGGUGUGUGGUUGGCAUCCGACUCUGAACGGCGACGGAUCGGCACACUCGGCGGGGCCGGCCCGCUGGGCCAGAGUCUUCUCUGGCCGCUGGACGAUUUCUUCACAGCUCCCGCGUCAGCUGAGGGAGUUCCGACCCCUCCCAGCUCAUCUAGCUCCAGUGGUGCUGCCCGUGCUGCCUAGCAGGUCUUAUGGGACAUCGUCAGGUAUAGGCCAACGCCAAGGUGGCCGGGGUUUUGAAAGCUCGAAGGGGAAGCGGAAAAUACGCCCGGUUAUAUAUAACAAGAUAUAACCGGUUUUUCCGCGACACUACGAGCGUCUUCUCUGGGGCGGCCCCGGAGCCGGGCCGGCCUCGGCGAGCAGCGUUCGGCGGCAGGCGGGCGGCCGCCCGCGCCCCGGGCGGCAAGGCUGCUGAGGCGGCGGCCUCCUCUGAUUGGUGGAGCGACUCGUGUCACGUGACGGUGGCGGCGCGGGGUUUGAGUGUAUAUGCGCGGUCACUCUGUUCUAGGCCGCCCGGUCUGACGCAAGUCAGCAGUGUUCUCGCUCUGAAAUGUUUUUGCGUUUCCCACCCACCCACCACCAUUUUAGGGUUUUCUUUUUUUUUACACGCACCACACUCUUAAAUAAAGAUGGGUUUUUCCACAAAAUGUGGUUUUUUCCCCAGCUAGGUCCCCCGGUUUUUUUCUAGUUAGGACUUUUUCCGGGGGAGGACACACACGACAGGGUUUCUAGUUUUGGGUGGUGACACCAUUGCGCCGCGCGGGGGGAGGGGUGGCGGCCCGUUGGCAGGGCAGUCUCGGUUGAGACAUGUAUACUUGCUAGUAUGUCUGUGUCGUGUUCAUUGGGCUGAAUAUACCAAUAGCCCCUUUUUGUACA